CGCUGAGCCGCUCGCGCACGCUCUUCUUGGUGGGAAGCGAUCAGCGAUUGUUUUGAGAAAAUCUUUAACCCUCUUCAGAAAGAUUCAUCGACCACGACACCACCAGAGGUCAAUUAGUUCCUCUAGAAGCAAUAUUCCCCAGAACUGCGAUAACGGAAGAUCGAAAAGAAGCCAGUUCCUGUAUCAUUAAACAGCACAAAACGACGUUCAAGACAUCGAAGACUCGGAAUGAAAUAAUCGAGUCACCAUUUCAACCAAAUUGGUCUGAGACCUGCUAAGAUUAAGAGAAGAAAUGAGAGGAAACAUCUUUUAAAUAGAUAAAAGAACGCUUUGUGCUUUUCUUCA
Long non-coding RNA from Anopheles aquasalis, 345 nucleotides. RefSeq lists it as uncharacterized. The record is from RefSeq and is a predicted model, not a curated record. Lineage: Eukaryota; Metazoa; Arthropoda; Insecta; Diptera; Culicidae.